GCAGUGGGUAGGGCAGGUCGUUAGCCGCGAUCAUGACCACAAGGCUAUAGUGGUGCCAGUAACCCAUGUAUGAGGAUGAACCCCGUUUCAGCUGACGUUCGUCGUGUGACGUUGAUGAGCAGUCUUCGGAGUCUGCAACGGACAUAUCAUUGAUCGUAGGAUCGAUGGGAUUGUCUUAGACCCCCGAAACGGGUCAGGCCCUGGCGGGAACAGCCCUAAGGGGGAGCGGUGGAGCCCCGGAGGUAGCUGCUUUGAGGAACGCGGCGAAAGGGUCAUCUGCGACGGGACAUCCGAAAGGUGGGAGCCACUGC
This 311-nucleotide signal recognition particle RNA is filed under the name Candidatus Thorarchaeota archaeon. RNAcentral describes it as "signal recognition particle sRNA". It matches the Rfam family "Archaeal signal recognition particle RNA". The record is from RNAcentral. Lineage: Archaea; Promethearchaeati; Candidatus Thorarchaeota.